RNAcentral lists this transfer RNA (83 nucleotides) under Candidatus Scatomorpha merdigallinarum. Its description in RNAcentral is "tRNA-Leu". It matches the Rfam family "tRNA". Rfam says of the family: Transfer RNA (tRNA) molecules are approximately 80 nucleotides in length. Their secondary structure includes four short double-helical elements and three loops (D, anti-codon, and T loops). Further hydrogen bonds mediate the characteristic L-shaped molecular structure. tRNAs have two regions of fundamental functional importance: the anti-codon, which is responsible for specific mRNA codon recognition, and the 3' end, to which the tRNAs corresponding amino acid is attached (by aminoacyl-tRNA synthetases). tRNAs cope with the degeneracy of the genetic code in two manners: having more than one tRNA (with a specific anti-codon) for a particular amino acid; and 'wobble' base-pairing, i.e. permitting non-standard base-pairing at the 3rd anti-codon position. Lineage: Bacteria; Bacillati; Bacillota; Clostridia; Eubacteriales. The record is from RNAcentral.
GCCGGUGUGGUGGAACUGGCAGACACAAGGGACUUAAAAUCCCUCGCUAGUGCGUGCGGGUUCGAGCCCCGCCACCGGCACCA